RNAcentral lists this ribosomal RNA (253 nucleotides) under uncultured bacterium. Its description in RNAcentral is "partial 16S ribosomal RNA". It matches the Rfam family "Bacterial small subunit ribosomal RNA", at positions 524 to 776 of the family's 1533-position model. The record is from RNAcentral.
UACAGGGGGGGCAAGCGUUGUUCGGAAUUACUGGGCGUAAAGGGCUCGUAGGCGGCCAACUAAGUCAGACGUGAAAUCCCUCAGCUUAACUGGGGAACUGCGUCUGAUACUGGAUGGCUUGAGUUUGGGAGAGGGAUGCGGAGUUCCAGGUGUAGCGGUGAAAUGCGUAGAUAUCUGGAGGAACACCGGUGGCGAAGGCGGCAUCCUGGACCAACACUGACACUGAGGAGCGAAAGCCAGGGGAGCAAACGGG